This 1105-nucleotide long non-coding RNA is filed under the name Callithrix jacchus (white-tufted-ear marmoset). RNAcentral describes it as "lncRNA (ENSCJAG00000080399.1)". The record is from RNAcentral. Lineage: Eukaryota; Metazoa; Chordata; Mammalia; Primates; Cebidae.
AAGAAAUGUUCGUGCUGAGAGGAUUUGAAAGGGUACAGACCACAAGAGCACAGAGAAUGUAUUCAAGUUUCUUAAGUUCUUAGAACAUUUUUGCAGUCAUCUCAUUGUCCAGGCUCAAUAUUUCUUCAUUUCCUUGCAGACAAUUCAGAAGAUGGAAUAUUUCAACUCUAAAAGUAAGCACCUGCUGUCCCCAUGGUGAUCAUGUAGGGAAAACAUCAGAGAGUCCUGUGUGCCGACACUGCAAGGCCAAGCCUGCCCUGCCUCUUGGAACAAGUUGCUCACCUGCUCUAAGCUCCAGGUCCCUCCCUGGUGCAAUAAGCAUAGUGAGCCCCUGCUCCAUGGAGUUCUGAGAACUGCAUGGGAUCCUGCAGUUGCAGCCCUGGUGCUCAUAACCCUGAGGUGCUUGCCCUCUAGUUGGGCUGUGUGAAAAGGAAAAGAGAAGAGCCACCGAGUGACUUGCAUCCCCUGACCACGUCUCAGAUGAUGCAGAAGGCUUUCCAUGGCCCCCAACUCUCCUCCCUAGUGCGAGGCUGCAGCUCUUGUCAGGAAAAGGUGGAGCAGGCAAGGUUGCCAGCUUGAUUCUCACAAUGAGCUUUCAUUGAUGAAGCCAGCCACGUGUGACAAGACUAGGAAGAUAACAGCAAUUGCAGACAGCCCAGACCAAGUGUUUGCGGUGGAGAAUGGCUUCAAGGCGAGAAGCACCAUUGACACCAUGAGUGGGCUGAUGUGAGGGGUUGGGGCACCUGGCUCCUGUGGCUGGAGGCUCACUCUGCCUGCCCCACCCCAACCCUCCUGUGUUCCAGCUCACGUCAAAGCUCUGCAGAGCCCACACUGUGUGUGCAGGAGCCUCAGUGCCACCACAAGCUUCUUCCUAGGGAAGCGUCAUGGCCAUUGGAUGGGUGCCCUCAGAGGCCAAGCAGGAGGGACGAUGAGCAGGAGGAACAGGCCAGGACAAGCCAGUUGAGGCUGGCAGUUGGAAGCCCUUGGAAUGAAGGUGGGCCCAGGAGCUCCCCAUGUGAGGAGGGGGGAGCCCCAGACCCAGCCAGAGAUCGUCAUGGAGGGUCACAAACCCACUAUGCCUGCCAUUCCCAUUUUACAAAAAAGC